GACGAACGCUGGCGGCGUGCCUAACACAUGCAAGUCAACUUGACUGAAGGAGCAAUCUGACAGUAGAGUGGCGCAAGGGUGCGUAACGCGUAAGUAACUUGCCCCAAGGUAAGGAAUAACGUCGAGAAAUCGGCGCUAAUACCUCAUAAUGCAGCGGAUCCGCAUGGAUAUGUUGUUAAAGGUUUACCGCCUUGGGAUAGGCUUGCGUCUGAUUAGUUAGUUGGUGUGGUAACGGCACACCAAGGCUACGAUCAGUAACUGGUCUGAGAGGAUGAUCAGUCACACUGGAACUGAGACACGGUCCAGACUCCUACGGGAGGCAGCAGUGAGGAAUAUUGGGCAAUGCUCGAAAGAGUGACCCAGCAACGCCGCGUGGAGGAUGAAGGUAUUCUAUAUCGUAAACUCCUGUGAGAGCAGACGAAAGACAGAUUAUAAUCUGGAUGACUGUAUGCUCAGAGGAAGCCCCC
RNAcentral lists this ribosomal RNA (467 nucleotides) under uncultured bacterium. RNAcentral's name for it is "bacterial SSU rRNA". It matches the Rfam family "Bacterial small subunit ribosomal RNA", at positions 28 to 495 of the family's 1533-position model. The record is from RNAcentral.